AUUGGAAACACACGCCAGGAGGGGUGAGUGAAGUAACAGCAGGGACUGUGGUAGCUGUAUCCUGGGGAGUGAGGAGGAAAGGGAGCGGAGGCAGCAAGGACUGGCUGCUGCGAAGAUGAUGUAAGGACCCGGCGAGGAGGUCAAAUGCUAUUCUAAUAGAAACUGGGAACACAACUCCGUGGACAAGAAUGAAGAGCUUCCGCGCUACUUCAGCCUGUUGGAGAUUGCGGAUGUAAGCUGCCACAGCCAAGAGUUGUCUUGAGAAAUUACCGGAACAGGAAGAGAGAAGUUCUGCGUUGCGAUCAGACGUGGUUGCUUUCUGGUGUGGCCUCAACAUGGAGUCCUGGCUAGCCUCUCAGCUUCAAACCCCAUUGGUUACCACCGUGACGCUGCUGCUCUUCUGAAGGUGGGUGCCAUGUUAAACUCUGCCACUAGAGGGUGCUCGAGGGAUGUUGGGCAGAAUUUUUCUUCCUGGUUCUGGUGUGCUCUCUAGGAAGGCUCCCAGUUAUUCAGUGGCUUCUUUCUGUCUCACUUCUGUAGUUUUCA
RNAcentral lists this long non-coding RNA (546 nucleotides) under Rattus norvegicus (Norway rat). Its description in RNAcentral is "long non-coding RNA NONRATT033541". The record is from RNAcentral. Lineage: Eukaryota; Metazoa; Chordata; Mammalia; Rodentia; Muridae.